UACGAAGGGGGCUAGCGUUGCUCGGAAUCACUGGGCGUAAAGCGCACGUAGGCGGCUUCUUAAGUCAGGGGUGAAAUCCUGGAGCUCAACUCCAGAACUGCCUUUGAUACUGAGAAGCUUGAGUCCGGGAGAGGUGAGUGGAACUGCGAGUGUAGAGGUGAAAUUCGUAGAUAUCUGGAGGAACACCGGUGGCGAAGGCGGCAUCCUGGACCGGUAUUGACGCUGAGGCGCGAAAGCCAGGGGAGCAAACGGG
This 253-nucleotide ribosomal RNA is filed under the name uncultured bacterium. RNAcentral describes it as "partial 16S ribosomal RNA". It matches the Rfam family "Bacterial small subunit ribosomal RNA", at positions 524 to 776 of the family's 1533-position model. The record is from RNAcentral.